ACGAAGUCUUCGGACUGAGUGGCGGACGGGUGAGUAACACGUGAGAACCUGCCUUAAGGUCGGGGAUAACAGUUGGAAACGACUGCUAAUACCGGAUGUGCCUACGGGUGAAAGAUUUAUUGCCUAAAGAUGGGCUCGCGUCUGAUUAGCUAGUUGGAGUGGUAAUGGCACACCAAGGCGACGAUCAGUAGCUGGUCUGAGAGGAUGAUCAGCCACACUGGGACUGAGACACGGCCCAGACUCCUACGGGAGGCAGCAGUGGGGAAUUUUCCGCAAUGGGCGAAAGCCUGACGGAGCAAGACCGCGUGAGGGAGGAAGGCUCUUGGGUUGUAAACCUCUUUUGUCAGGGAAGAACACAAUGACGGUACCUGACGAAUCAGCAUCGGCUAACUCCGUGCCAGCAGCCGCGGUAAUACGGAGGAUGCAAGCGUUAUCCGGAAUUAUUGGGCGUAAAGCGUCCGCAGGUGGUUGUACAAGUCUGCUGUCAAGGCGCGGAGCUUAACUCCGUAAAGGCGGUGGAAACUGUGCGACUAGAGUUCGGUAGGGGUCGCGGGAAUUCCCAGUGUAGCGGUGAAAUGCGUAGAUAUUGGGAAGAACACCGGUGGCGAAAGCGCGCGACUGGACCGAGACUGACACUCAUGGACGAAAGCUAGGGGAGCGAAAGGGAUUAGAUACCCCUGUAGUCCUAGC
RNAcentral lists this ribosomal RNA (690 nucleotides) under uncultured cyanobacterium. RNAcentral's name for it is "bacterial SSU rRNA". It matches the Rfam family "Bacterial small subunit ribosomal RNA", at positions 66 to 800 of the family's 1533-position model. Lineage: Bacteria; Bacillati; Cyanobacteriota. The record is from RNAcentral.